GAUGAAGAACGCAGCGAAAUGCGAUAAGUAAUGUGAAUUGCAGAAUUCAGUGAAUCAUCGAAUCUUUGAACGCACAUUGCGCCCGCUAGUAUUCUGGCGGGCAUGCCUGUCCGAGCGUCAUUUCAACCCUCAAGCCCCCGGGCUUGGUGUUGGGGAACGGCGAGCCUCCGCGCCCGCCGUCCCCUAAAUCUAGUGGCGGUCUCGCUGUAGCUUCCUCUGCGUAGUAGCACACCUCGCACUGGGAAACAGCGCGGCCACGCCGUUAAACCCCCAACUUCUGAACGUUUGACCUCGGAUCAGGUAGGAAUACCCGCUGAACUUAAGCAUAUCAAUAAGCGGAGGA
RNAcentral lists this unclassified non-coding RNA (343 nucleotides) under soil metagenome. RNAcentral's name for it is "partial contains 5.8S ribosomal RNA, internal transcribed spacer 2, and large subunit ribosomal RNA". The stretch from base 1 to 120 matches the Rfam family "5.8S ribosomal RNA", at positions 35 to 154 of the family's 154-position model. The record is from RNAcentral.